This 681-nucleotide ribosomal RNA is filed under the name Chlamydia psittaci C1/97. RNAcentral's name for it is "bacterial LSU rRNA". It matches the Rfam family "Bacterial large subunit ribosomal RNA", at positions 4 to 674 of the family's 2925-position model. Lineage: Bacteria; Pseudomonadati; Chlamydiota; Chlamydiia; Chlamydiales; Chlamydiaceae. The record is from RNAcentral.
CAAGUUAUUAAGAGCUAUUGGUGGAUGCCUUGGCAUUGACAGGCGAUGAAGGAUGCGUUUACCUGCAGUAAUCUUCGGCGAGCUGGUAUAAAGCUAUGACCCGGAGGUCUCCGAAUGGGGCAACCCGGUAGAUUAAUCAUCUACCAUUAUACGUUGAAUACAUAGACGUAUAAGGCGACACCUGCUGAACUGAAACAUCUUAGUAAGCAGAGGAAAAUAAAUCAAAGAGAUUCCCUGAGUAGCGGCGAGCGAAAGGGGAGAAGACCAAACCACAUUUUUAAUGUGGGGUUGUAGGGUCGAUAACAUGGGAUCUUAAGUUUUAGUUGAAUACUUCUGGAAAGUAGAACGAUACAGGGUGAUAGUCCCGUAGACGAAAAAACAAGAGACUCUAUUCGAUACCUGAGUAGGGCUAGACACGUGAAACCUAGUCUGAAUCUGGGGAGACCACUCUCCAAGUCUAAAUACUAGUCAAUGACCUAUAGUGAACCAGUACUGUGAAGGAAAGGUGAAAAGAACCCUUGUUAAGGGAGUGAAAUAGAACCUGAAACCAGUAGCUUAUAAGCGGUCGAAGACCUAUAACUUCUUAGGAAGUCAUGGUUGACGGCGUGCCUUUUGCAUGAUGAGCCAGGGAGUUAAGUUAAACGGCGAGGUUAAGGGAUCUACAUUCCGGAGCCGAAGCGA